This is a long non-coding RNA of Polyodon spathula (Mississippi paddlefish), 649 nucleotides long. RefSeq lists it as uncharacterized. Lineage: Eukaryota; Metazoa; Chordata; Actinopteri; Acipenseriformes; Polyodontidae. The transcript is spliced from 3 exons. The record is from RefSeq and is a predicted model, not a curated record.
UGGAGGAGAAGAUCAUCUCUUAACUGUUUAUUUGAAUUCUGUUUUCAGUAUUUUGUGAAUCUUUGUUUCACUGCUUGCAUUGAUGUUAUUUUAGGGACUGUAGUUUAGGCAAAGCAGGUUGUGGAGAAGAUAUUUCACCCCGAUCGGCCUGACCCUGUGGAUAUAGAGCACAUGUCUGCAGACCUGACGGAUUUGCUGAAAACCGGAUUCAGCAUGUUCAUGAAGGUGAGCCGUCCCUACCCAAGUGACCACCCCCUUCUCUUCCUGUUUGAUGGGGGGAGUUACACCUUCAGAAGUUCGUUUGAUUAAAGAUGUUGUGUCAUCACACAAGUCUGCCGUUCAGACAGCAAGAGUAAAUCAAAGACAGAUGGUCGUCAGACAUUAAAACAGAAUAUGUCUGAGGACAACGGUGAUAGGAAAUCUCAAGAAUCAAGAAAGAAGGAAGUGCAAUUAAAAAAACAAAAACAAACAUGUAGUUGAUGUUUAAAAAUGUGUUUUUGUGGCUAAUUGUGUCUUUGAGCCUGUGCUAUAUGACUUUGAUUAAGAAGUAAUAAAAUUAAUCGAAAUGAAAUUUAAUGACAAAGUUUAUUUUAGUAUUUCUUAAUUCAGUGUUUGAUAGUUAUGGGUGAUAGAUGUGUUGGUGUGUUUU